RNAcentral lists this ribosomal RNA (491 nucleotides) under uncultured bacterium. Its description in RNAcentral is "partial 16S ribosomal RNA". It matches the Rfam family "Bacterial small subunit ribosomal RNA", at positions 29 to 506 of the family's 1533-position model. The record is from RNAcentral.
AGUGAACGCUGGCGGUAGGCCUAACACAUGCAAGUCGAACGGCAGCACAGUAAGAGCUUGCUCUUACGGGUGGCGAGUGGCGGACGGGUGAGGAAUACAUCGGAAUCUACUUUUUCGUGGGGGAUAACGUAGGGAAACUUACGCUAAUACCGCAUACGACCUACGGGUGAAAGCAGGGGAUCUUCGGACCUUGCGCGAUUGAAUGAGCCGAUGUCGGAUUAGCUAGUUGGCGGGGUAAAGGCCCACCAAGGCGACGAUCCGUAGCUGGUCUGAGAGGAUGAUCAGCCACACUGGAACUGAGACACGGUCCAGACUCCUACGGGAGGCAGCAGUGGGGAAUAUUGGACAAUGGGCGCAAGCCUGAUCCAGCCAUACCGCGUGGGUGAAGAAGGCCUUCGGGUUGUAAAGCCCUUUUGUUGGGAAAGAAAAGCAGCAGGUUAAUACCCCGCUGUUCUGACGGUACCCAAAGAAUAAGGACCGGCUAACUUCGU